GAUGAACGCUGGCGGCGUGCCUAAUACAUGCAAGUCGAGCGAACAGACGAGGAGCUUGCUCCUCUGACGUUAGCGGCGGACGGGUGAGUAACACGUGGAUAACCUACCUAUAAGACUGGGAUAACUUCGGGAAACCGGAGCUAAUACCGGAUAAUAUAUUGAACCGCAUGGUUCAAUAGUGAAAGACGGUUUUGCUGUCACUUAUAGAUGGAUCCGCGCCGCAUUAGCUAGUUGGUAAGGUAACGGCUUACCAAGGCAACGAUGCGUAGCCGACCUGAGAGUGUGCUCGCCCACCGUAGAACAGAGACCGCCCCCAGCCUCCUGCGGGAGGAACCAGUCGGGAUUCUUACGCAAGGGGCGAAAGCCUGACGGAGCACCGCCGCGUGCGUGAUAAAGUUUUUCGGAUCGUAAAACUUUUUUAUUGGAAAAAAACAAAUGUGAAAGUAACUCUGCACGUCUUGCCGGUACUUAACCAGAAGGCCCGGACAACCUACGUC
This 497-nucleotide ribosomal RNA is filed under the name uncultured bacterium. RNAcentral describes it as "partial 16S ribosomal RNA". It matches the Rfam family "Bacterial small subunit ribosomal RNA", at positions 28 to 507 of the family's 1533-position model. The record is from RNAcentral.